Oreochromis aureus is the source of this 2535-nucleotide long non-coding RNA. The record is from Ensembl. Lineage: Eukaryota; Metazoa; Chordata; Actinopteri; Cichliformes; Cichlidae.
GAAGCGGUGAACUGGGAAUGUUGCUGCAAAUCUGUUCCUGACCCUUGUGACCUCUGGAACAGCGAAUUAUCAAACUUUUACUACUUCACCUGUUAAAUGCCGUGUGCCCGGCAGGUGUCGCCAAAGCGUUGUGUAGAGCCCGGCUGUCAGCAGCAUGUACUGUACAGUAGGACAGCUGGGCUUUAUUUUGCUUCCCAGACUGGAAACCACUGUAGUGCAGUUGGACUUGACGUCUAGCAACACAACAUCAGACUUUAAAAAAGCAGACCCGGUGGCUUUGCAAGUUAGCGGCUGCAUUCACAGAGACAUAUGUCAGAUUCGACAGUACCUCCUGCAGAGCAGCAGAACCUCGACACCAAACCUCUGCGAGACAUCCUCAUGCACAUGUGGCUCAUGCUGAGCUGCAGGAAACAAACCAAUGGCCGACCCUCGUUCUCAGAUACUGUUUUCCUCACCUGUACCUGGUAUUUUUACUCCUUGCUGUGAGCUCGACUGCAGCAGCAUGGGGGGGAGAGGCACAGCUGGAAGUGUGUGUGAAAUAUGUGUUUUCAGGUGAAUAGUAAAAAAUAAUACACAAACACAAAAUAGCAGCUCCCUAGCUGCUGCCAUGCUACAUGUCUGUCUUCAUCUGAUGCCAUUAAACCUGAUUAUCUUUGAUUGACAUAUUUAAGCUGAUGUAUUUUAAUGCAGCGGACCUCACUAUAUUUCUUCCUGUGAAGUUUGUUUGAAACUUACUACAAAUAUGUCACAAAAUGUUAAAGAAGAGUUAAACAAAUGUGAUUUUGUUGGCUGAUUGUCAGUCAUUGCCAUAGCAAUCAGCUCCGUCUCAAGUUGCGUAGCAGGUUCACUGCACACUCUGGCCACAGAACGCCCUCAUUUGAGCUGGCGUGGCUUGUGUCUUCACCGUGCAGAUGACUUAGCUUAGCACAGAACUUUACAUCAUUUAUGUAUUCAGCCAUUAUUUAUUUAUACAUGCAAGCUCUUGAGCAGUGUUUAAUAUAGCCUCUUAGUCCUCAGUUAGAACUCUCAGAUAUCUUACUUUAUGUAAUUGGUACACACAGUUUGGGCAUCAGAACUCAGGAAUCACGCAAAUGUGAACUCUGAUAAGGCGUGGAUUUUGGUAAUUUGAAGAGAAAUGUUGUUUAAUUCAACUCUAGCUGGCAUCAAGAAGCUCUUACCCCAAGAAACCCGCAGACCUUCUCAAACUAUUACUGCUGAUGCCACAGAAAUGCAAAUGAGUAGAUGAUGUCACUGUGCCCUUGGACAUUUUUACAUUUUAAAGCUGCUAGUUGGCAUUCUGAAUUGAAUCCUACACUUUAAUGAGGGAUGGAGUUAAGAGGGGGAGCUGGUAAAAUGACAUGGGAAAAACUUACAUAUGUGAAAAAUGGCAUCCUCCUACAGGUGUUUCUGCUGUUUAUGGGGUGUUUUUUUGAAAUAUAUAUGCUGGGAGGUUGAAAUAUUGUGAUGUCCAGCUAGAUUUUAAAAAAACAACAACAAACUUGCCUUUUCCCUGAAAAGGGAACGGUUGUGAGCAUAAUAUGAAACUGUGGCAGGUUGCCAGGUCCCCACUGCUUUGUACCUUGUUGAGAUAUUUCCUUGCUGGUUUCUGUUAUUUUCUCAGGUCGUGUUUAAAGUUUAGUGGUGGUUACAGUUAUCUGGAUUCAAUUCCUGCUCCCUGUUUUCUACGUAUCGAGUCCACAUUUCUGUGUCCUGAGUUCAGUUACUUCCUGUUUUAUUUUGGUAACUCAUUUAAUUUUACGCAUUCAUGUUGCAUUAACAAAUUUACUUCAGCUGUGUGUUUCUCCCAGGCAUCUCCACUCUGCUCCCGUCUCCUCUUGUGUGUUUAAACCCUCAGUUUGCUUGUAUUCUUUGUUGUUACCUCCAUCAUACCGCGUGCUCCCUUGGUCUGCGGUUUCCCUGAGUUUUUGCAUUCCUGGCGCCAGCCCUGCCUUGUUUUUGUAUUUUGCUUAAAGGACUUCAGCAUUAAAGCUGCUUUUUGAGUUUAAAGUCUCCUGAGUCCUGCAUUUGGGUUCUAAUCCUGCCUGCCGCACAGCGCUUCAUGGCACCCACAUCAAAUUUUGUGUUGUUUAUUGAAAUUAAUUAGUUUAACCAUGAAAUGAUCUCUGUAAGGUGUAGAAACGACUCUGAACGAUUGUUUUAAAAUGAACAUGUUAACUUCAUGGCACAAUAUAAAGAGGGAACCUUCAGGAAAGAAAUGCAUGGGAUGCACUUUCUCCAACAUGCUAGAGCAGCCAGAACCAUUGCUUUAAGUAGACCCUCACCUCCAUACGCUAGAAUGCUGUUGUACAGUGGCAAAAGAGACUGCAACACAUGCUUCAGAUAUUUAGUGAAAUAAAGAUGAAGAGACAGGGCAGAGGAGAAAUAAACCUGUUUAUCUUGUGCCUUGCAUGUCGUUAAUUUCUUAUUAGAAGCUGAGUGGUUGCAUAAUAAAAGAAAUGUCCUUGAGUCUGCUCCCACAAGGUGCUGCUGCGUUUUCCACUCGAAAACGUUUGAAUUGUGUGUGUCUGUGUCGCA